GACGAACGCUGGCGGCGUGCUUAACACAUGCAAGUCGAACGGGCAGGCCCUGCUUUUGUGGGGUGCUCGAGUGGCGAACGGAUGAGUAACACGUGAGUAACCUGCCCUCGCAUUUGGGAUAACUUCAGUAAACUGGGGCAAACACCGGAUAGGAGCUCCUGCUGCAUGGUGGGGGUUGGAAAGAUUCGGCGGUUGGGGAUGGACUCGGGGCUUAUCAGCUUGUUGGUGGGGUAGUGGCUUACCAAGGCUUUGACGGGUAGCCGGCCUGAGAGGGUGACCGGCCACAGUGGGACUGAGAUACGGCCCAGAGUCAUACGGGAGGCAGCAGUGGGGGAUUGUGCACGAUGGGCGGAAGCCGGAUGCAGCAACGCCGCGUGCGGGAUGACGGCCUCCGGGUUGGAAACCGCAUUCGCCUGUGACGAAGCGUGAGGGACGGUAAUGGGUAGAGAAGCACCGGCUAACUACGUG
Molecule: ribosomal RNA, 468 nt
Filed under: uncultured bacterium
Lineage: Bacteria
Description: partial 16S ribosomal RNA
Rfam family: Bacterial small subunit ribosomal RNA
Source: RNAcentral